UGGGGAAUCUUGCGCAAUGGGCGAAAGCCUGACGCAGCAACGCCGCGUGCGGGAUGACGGCCUUCGGGUUGUAAACCGCUUCUAGCAGGGACGCGGUACGUGCAGAAAAGACCCGGCCUAACUACGUGCCAGCAGCCGCGGUAAUACGUAGGGGGCGAGCGUUGUCCGGAAUCAUUGGGCGUAAAGAGCUCGUAGGCGGUUCAGUAAGUCGGGUGUGAAAGCUCCGAGCUCAACUCGGAGAGGCCACUCGAUACUGCUGGACUAGAAUCCAGUAGGGGAGUGUGGAAUUCCUGGUGUAGCGGUGAAAUGCGCAGAUAUCAGGAGGAACACCGGCGGCGAAGGCGGCACUCUGGGCUGGUAUUGACGCUGAGGAGCGAAAGUGUGGGUAGCAAACAGGAUUAGAUA
RNAcentral lists this ribosomal RNA (405 nucleotides) under uncultured bacterium. RNAcentral describes it as "bacterial SSU rRNA". It matches the Rfam family "Bacterial small subunit ribosomal RNA", at positions 355 to 784 of the family's 1533-position model. The record is from RNAcentral.